Molecule: long non-coding RNA, 841 nt
Organism: Vitis vinifera (wine grape)
Lineage: Eukaryota; Viridiplantae; Streptophyta; Magnoliopsida; Vitales; Vitaceae
Exons: 2
Source: RefSeq, a predicted model, not a curated record
UCUGGAAUCCCCAAAUUACAACCCGUCUCUUCCCUCGUUCUUCCUUUCUUCGAAGCCCUAAAAUGCCAAUCCCACAAAGUUGCUGCUAAAACCCCAGAUAAUUUCUCAUUGUUUGUGGGGUGGAAAUUUGCAAAAUCUUGAAAUAAUUUCUCAAGCCCUACAAUCCCACAUAGCUCAUUGAAAUGGUCGUUGAAGGUUGAAGUUGAAGAUUUGUCCCUUGAGGCUAAAGAUUUGUUAAGGUAAACGACAACUUGAAGAUUAAUGGAUCCUCCAGUCCAUUACUAUUGUGGUAAUGAGGCUCGUGUUAUGACAUCGUGGACAAAUUUAAAUCCGGGUAGAAGGUUUAUGGGAAGCCAAAAAUACAAGAAAUAUGGAGGCUGUGGAUUCUUCCUAUGGUAUGAUGGUCCCAUGUGUGAUAGAUCAAAGCAAAUAAUACUUAGAUUGUUGAAUGUUGUGAAGAAGAAGGAAGAUGAAGCUAUGGUGAAUCGAAGAGGGGUUAAAUGCAUGUUUUGGAUGAUGAUGAUAUCAUGGACAAUCUAUUUGCUUUUUCUAGUCUUCUUGGUACAGAGAAACUGUGGUAUUUUAGAUGAAGGCUUCCCAAAGUUACUUGGAAAUUAGAAGGCUCCCAACUUGGUUUUAAUUUUGUGUUUUGUGUAAACUGUUUGAAUGGUUGAAGGCUCCAGGUUUGAAUUUUGUAUUUUGUGUAACCAUUUGAACAGAUGAGGAGUUGUGCUGAGGGUCUUGAUGGAAGGGUUAGAAUUACUGUGUAAUUUUGUAGUUAAUGAGAUGAACAAAUUAAAUUACAAAUUUGAUUUUGGGUUUUUUACACAUUGAUUUUCAA